UCCAGACUCCUACGGGAGGCAGCAGUGGGGGAUAUUGCACAAUGGGGGAAACCCUGAUGCAGCGACGCCGCGUGAGUGAAGAAGUAUUUCGGUAUGUAAAGCUCUAUCAGCAGGGAAGAAAAAAGACGGUACCUGACUAAGAAGCCCCGGCUAACUACGUGCCAGCAGCCGCGGUAAUACGUAGGGGGCAAGCGUUAUCCGGAUUUACUGGGUGUAAAGGGAGCGUAGACGGCAAUACAAGUCGGAAGUGAAAUACCCGGGCUCAACCUGGGAACUGCUUUGGAAACUGUAUGGCUGGAGUGCUGGAGAGGUAAGCGGAAUUCCUAGUGUAGCGGUGAAAUGCGUAGAUAUUAGGAGGAACACCAGUGGCGAAGGCGGCUUACUGGACAGUAACUGACGUUGAGGCUCGAAAGCGUGGGGAGCAAACAGGAUUAGAUACCCCCGUAA
RNAcentral lists this ribosomal RNA (447 nucleotides) under uncultured bacterium. Its description in RNAcentral is "bacterial SSU rRNA". It matches the Rfam family "Bacterial small subunit ribosomal RNA", at positions 330 to 793 of the family's 1533-position model. The record is from RNAcentral.